UACGAAGGGGGCUAGCGUUGUUCGGAAUUACUGGGCGUAAAGCGCACGUAGGCGGAUUGUUAAGUCAGGGGUGAAAUCCUGGAGCUCAACUCCAGAACUGCCCUUGAUACUGGCAAUCUUGAGUCCGGAAGAGGUAAGUGGAACUGCGAGUGUAGAGGUGAAAUUCGUAGAUAUUCGCAAGAACACCAGUGGCGAAGGCGGCUUACUGGUCCGGUACUGACGCUGAGGUGCGAAAGCGUGGGAGCAAACAGGG
Molecule: ribosomal RNA, 253 nt
Filed under: uncultured bacterium
Lineage: Bacteria
Description: partial 16S ribosomal RNA
Rfam family: Bacterial small subunit ribosomal RNA
Source: RNAcentral